This 253-nucleotide ribosomal RNA is filed under the name uncultured bacterium. RNAcentral describes it as "partial 16S ribosomal RNA". It matches the Rfam family "Bacterial small subunit ribosomal RNA", at positions 524 to 776 of the family's 1533-position model. The record is from RNAcentral.
UACAGAGGUCCCGAGCGUUGUUCGGAAUUACUGGGCGUAAAGGGCUCGUAGGCGGCCAACUAAGUCAUACGUGAAAUCCCUCGGCUUAACCGGGGAACUGCGUCUGAUACUGGAUGGCUUGAGUUCGGGAGAGGGAUGCGGAAUUCCAGGUGUAGCGGUGAAAUGCGUAGAUAUCUGGAGGAACACCGGUGGCGAAGGCGGCAUCCUGGACCGAUACUGACGCUGAGGAGCGAAAGCCAGGGGAGCAAACGGG